UAUAAUUCUCAGGGCGGGGCGCAAUUCCCCACCGGCGGUAAACUUGAAAAAGUGAGCCCGCGAGCGCUCGAUUCGUCGAGGUCAGCAGAUCUGGUGACUUAGGUUUUACUCAUGAGUAAUGCCUAACAGUCCAGAGCCGACGGUUACAGUCCGGAUGAGAGAGAAUAGAG
RNAcentral lists this non-coding RNA (170 nucleotides) under Shewanella frigidimarina. Its description in RNAcentral is "FMN sequence". It matches the Rfam family "FMN riboswitch aptamer (RFN element)". From Rfam's summary of the family: The RFN element is a highly conserved domain that is found frequently in the 5'-untranslated regions of prokaryotic mRNAs that encode for flavin mononucleotide (FMN) biosynthesis and transport proteins. This element is a metabolite-dependent riboswitch that directly binds FMN in the absence of proteins. Lineage: Bacteria; Pseudomonadati; Pseudomonadota; Gammaproteobacteria; Alteromonadales; Shewanellaceae. RNAcentral also lists the same sequence under 1 other name. The record is from RNAcentral.